AGAUACAUUUGUAUAAAAGGAGGUAAACAACCAAACUGUAGAAUGCAGGGCACUUUAGCUUCGAUUUUGACUCUGAGCUACCUGGAUUCUAGACAGGUCGCUCAAUCUUGAUUGAAGAUCAAGUAGCAUGAUAAACACUGGAUAGUAGAUACACAAUAGAAGGUGUGAAUUUGAAUAACAGCAUCACAGUGGUCAGAUAAUGUGAUCCCAAAACCACUGAUUUCUA
Molecule: unclassified non-coding RNA, 226 nt
Filed under: Hevea brasiliensis (rubber tree)
Lineage: Eukaryota; Viridiplantae; Streptophyta; Magnoliopsida; Malpighiales; Euphorbiaceae
Source: RNAcentral